GAAGGUGGCUAGCGUUAUUCGGAUUUACUGGGCAUAAAGCGCGCGUAGGCGGCUCGACAAGUCGGAGGUGAAAGCCUGCAGCUCAACUGCGGUGUGCCUCCGAAACUGUCGAGCUUGAGUGCGGGAGGGGUGAUUGGAACUCCAGGUGUAGCGGUGAAAUGCGUAGAUAUCUGGAGGAACACCAGAGGCGAAGGCGAAUCACUGGACCGCAACUGACGCUGAGGCGCGAAAGCUAGGGGAGCAAACAGGAUUAGAUACCCUGGUAGUCCUAGCUGUAAACGAUGGGCACUAGGCAAUGGGGAUCCGAUGUCUUCAUUGUCGAAACAAAUGCGAUAAAUGCCCCGCCUGGGGAGUACGGGCGCGAGGCUG
This 369-nucleotide ribosomal RNA is filed under the name uncultured bacterium. Its description in RNAcentral is "bacterial SSU rRNA". It matches the Rfam family "Bacterial small subunit ribosomal RNA", at positions 527 to 896 of the family's 1533-position model. The record is from RNAcentral.